AUGAUCCUUUUAUAUUCUGGCAAAAUGCAGGCUGUUCUUGAGAAACAAAGUUAUAUUCUCCUCUCACGGAGUGAUGUUGAAAGUUUAAUGCGUCUGGACCCUGCAAAUGCUUCUUUGCAAAAGUCUUUUGGUCAACUUGAUAACGACAUUCCAGAUGCAGGAAUUGAAGUGGAGAUUGAACUAAGUGAUCUCCUAUUGGAUAUGUGCCCGAUAAAACAGCCCUGA
Molecule: ribosomal RNA, 225 nt
Filed under: Triticum aestivum (bread wheat)
Lineage: Eukaryota; Viridiplantae; Streptophyta; Magnoliopsida; Poales; Poaceae
Description: partial small subunit ribosomal RNA
Source: RNAcentral